RNAcentral lists this transfer RNA (73 nucleotides) under Pectobacterium bacteriophage PM2. It matches the Rfam family "tRNA". Rfam says of the family: Transfer RNA (tRNA) molecules are approximately 80 nucleotides in length. Their secondary structure includes four short double-helical elements and three loops (D, anti-codon, and T loops). The record is from Rfam by way of RNAcentral. Lineage: Duplodnaviria; Heunggongvirae; Uroviricota; Caudoviricetes; Pantevenvirales; Straboviridae.
GUGGCCGUAGUUCAGUUGGUAGAACCUCCGAUUGUGAUUCGGAAUGUCACGGAUUCAAAUUCCGUCGGUCACC